RNAcentral lists this long non-coding RNA (267 nucleotides) under Homo sapiens (human). RNAcentral describes it as "non-protein coding lnc-TBC1D32-5:1". The record is from RNAcentral. Lineage: Eukaryota; Metazoa; Chordata; Mammalia; Primates; Hominidae.
AUGGGGAAAUACAAGCAGCACUUGAAAGUUCAUACCCUGUCAGUUAAUAUUAAAGAACAAAAUGAUAAAAGUUCAGAACCUAAAUUUGAAGGCAUGUGGAGAAAGGAUUAUAAAGUAAAGCAAAGAAGUGGAGGUUAUGACUUGGUCACUGGGUUUUACCCAGAGGAGAAGACAGAUUGGUGGAUAUCUUCACAGAAUGUCCAGGUUUCAUCAAGUCACAACUGCAAGACUCUAGCUGCAGCAAUGUUGGAGAUCAAGUCUCCGUGA